RNAcentral lists this ribosomal RNA (255 nucleotides) under uncultured Gammaproteobacteria bacterium. RNAcentral describes it as "partial 16S ribosomal RNA". It matches the Rfam family "Bacterial small subunit ribosomal RNA", at positions 555 to 806 of the family's 1533-position model. The record is from RNAcentral. Lineage: Bacteria; Pseudomonadati; Pseudomonadota; Gammaproteobacteria.
CCGAUAUGGGCGUAAAGAGCUCGUAGGCGGUUUUUUAGUCGGAUGUGAAACCCGGGGCUAACCCCGGAACUGCAUUCGAUACUGCCAAACUAGAGUUUGGUAAGGGAAGUUGGAAUUCCCGGUGUAACGGUGAAAUGCGUAGAUAUCAGGAAGAACACCAGUGGCGAAAGCCGCCCCCUGGGCCAUAACUGACGCUUAAGAACGAAAGCCUGGGGAGCAAACAGGAUUAGAUACCCUGGUAGUCCACGCCGUAAA